GUUUUCUCCCCCUGCUCCCAUAACAUCUGCUCUCAGCAGCUUCUGUUUUCCAAGCCAUUAUCUUUUGUUCUCAUUCAUUUUCUAUUCCAUUAUUUCCCUCCAUGGCCUCUUUAAAAUACAAAUCUGAUCACAUUCCCCCUUAGCAUACAAUUACUCGGGACAGAAUCCAGACAGGCCGGCCUCGGGGGCCUGGGGGGCCUUUCCUGUCCGCCUUUCCGUCCUCCGCUCCUCCCCGCUGCCUCCAGGCAAUCUCGCCCCUCGCACAGGAUUGCUGGCGGCCGAGAAAACUGCCCGACUCUCUCUCACCAUCAUUCUCUUGCUGAAAAGGAGCACAGCUCUGCCUGUCCUUGAAGAUUCAGCUGAGACACUGGUCUGGGCAGCCUGCUAGGGUGGGCCAUCCUGGGUGGGCCUCCUCCCCGCAGCUCAGCCCGCCUGGCUGCGGGCACCUGGAGACCACUCCUCAGUAUCACUGUCAGGACCAGGAACGUCCCUCCCAGAGGGCCCCAACCUGUGCUUCCAGGGCCUGCACCAUCAGAGCAACAGCCAAGGGGAGGCCGGUUCCAAGAAGAGGAAUGUCGCGUGAACUUAGGCCGACAGACACCAAGCCUUCAGCAGAGCCCUAAUCAAUAUAUUGCCUGUGUGCUUGAGUGCUAAGUCGCUUCAGUUGU
RNAcentral lists this long non-coding RNA (668 nucleotides) under Cervus hanglu yarkandensis (Yarkand deer). Its description in RNAcentral is "lncRNA (ENSCHYG00000008006.1)". Lineage: Eukaryota; Metazoa; Chordata; Mammalia; Artiodactyla; Cervidae. The record is from RNAcentral.